AGUAAAUUGGUUAAGUUAGAAAGGGCGCACGGUGGAUGCCUUGGCACUAGGAGCCGAAGAAGGACGGGACUAACACCGAUAUGCUUUGGGGAGCUGUACGUAAGCGUUGAUCCAGAGAUUUCCGAAUGGGGGAACCCACUAUCUUUAGUCGGAUAGUAUCCUUACGUGAAUACAUAGCGUGAGGAAGGCAGACCCAGGGAACUGAAACAUCUAAGUACCUGGAGGAAGAGAAAGAAAAAUCGAUUUCCUGAGUAGCGGCGAGCGAAACGGAAAGAGCCCAAACCAAGAAGCUUGCUUCUUGGGGUUGUAGGACACUCUAUACGGAGUUACAAAAGAAAGUUAUAAAUGAAGCGGUCUGGAAAGGCCCGCCAAAGACGGUAACAGCCCGGUAGUUGAAAUGGCUUUCCCUCCAGAGUGGAUCCUGAGUACGGC
This 432-nucleotide ribosomal RNA is filed under the name Listeria monocytogenes. Its description in RNAcentral is "bacterial LSU rRNA". It matches the Rfam family "Bacterial large subunit ribosomal RNA", at positions 1 to 418 of the family's 2925-position model. The record is from RNAcentral. Lineage: Bacteria; Bacillati; Bacillota; Bacilli; Caryophanales; Listeriaceae.